UUGGAGGGCAAGUCUGGUGCCAGCAGCCGCGGUAAUUCCAGCUCCAAUAGCGUAUAUUAAAGUUGUUGCAGUUAAAAAGCUCGUAGUUGAAUUUCGGAGUUUGUCGGUUGGUCGGGCUUCAUUGUCCGCACUGGCCUGAUGGAUUCCUACCUUCUGAAUAACCAGCAUGCUAUUAAGUUAGUGCGUUGGGGAAGCAGAGCUAUUACCUUGAAAAAAUUAGAGUGCUUAAAGCAGGCUUAUGCUUGAAUAGAUUAGCAUGGAAUAAUAAAAUAGGACGGCAUGGUUCUAUUUUGUUGGUUUCUAGGAUCACCGUAAUGAUUAAUAGGGAUAGUUGGGGGCAUUAGUAUUCAAUUGUCAGAGGUGAAAUUCUUGGAUUUAUUGAAGACUAACUUCUGCGAAAGCAUUUGCCAAGGAUGUUUUCAUUAAUCAAGAACGAAAGUUAGGGGAUCGAAGACGAUCAGAUACCGUCGUAGUCUUAACCAUAAACUAUGCCGACUAGGGAUCGGACGAUGUUAAUUUUUAAUGACUCGUUCGGCGCCUUACGGGAAAC
This 550-nucleotide ribosomal RNA is filed under the name uncultured Glomeromycotina. RNAcentral describes it as "SSU rRNA". It matches the Rfam family "Eukaryotic small subunit ribosomal RNA", at positions 548 to 1098 of the family's 1831-position model. Lineage: Eukaryota; Fungi; Glomeromycota. The record is from RNAcentral.